This 429-nucleotide ribosomal RNA is filed under the name Verrucomicrobiota bacterium. Its description in RNAcentral is "Verrucomicrobia bacterium partial 16S ribosomal RNA". It matches the Rfam family "Bacterial small subunit ribosomal RNA", at positions 355 to 776 of the family's 1533-position model. Lineage: Bacteria; Pseudomonadati; Verrucomicrobiota. The record is from RNAcentral.
UAGGGGAUCUUCCGCAAUGGACGAAAGUCUGACGGAGCAACGCCGCGUGAGUGAAGAAGGAUUUCGGUUCGUAAAACUCUGUUGUUAGGGAAGAAAAAAUGUAUAGUAACUAUAUACAAAAGAGACGGUACCUAACCAGAAAGCCACGGCUAACUACGUGCCAGCAGCCGCGGUAAUACGUAGGUGGCAAGAGUUGUCCGGAAUUAUUGGGCGUAAAGCGCGCGCAGGUGGUUUAGAAAGUCUGAUGUGAAAGCCCACGGCUCAACCGUGGAGGGUCAUUGGAAACUAAUAAACUUGAGUGCAGGAGAGAAAAGUGGAAUUCCUAGUGUAGCGGUGAAAUGCGUAGAGAUUAGGAGGAACACCGGUGGCGAAAGCGGCUUUUUGGCCUGCAACUGACACUGAGGCGCGAAAGCGUGGGGAGCAAACAGG